This 440-nucleotide ribosomal RNA is filed under the name uncultured bacterium. RNAcentral describes it as "partial 16S ribosomal RNA". It matches the Rfam family "Bacterial small subunit ribosomal RNA", at positions 338 to 795 of the family's 1533-position model. The record is from RNAcentral.
CCUACGGGAGGCAGCAGUAGGGAAUAUUGCACAAUGGGGGAAACCCUGAUGCAGCAAUGCCGCGUGGGUGAAGAAGCUCUCCGGAGCGUAAAGCCCUGUCGGCAGAGAAGAAAAUGCGAGUAAGUAACCAAGAAGCCCCGGAUAACUACGUGCCAGCAGCCGCGGGAAUACGUAGGGGGAAAGCGUGAGCCGGAUUUACUGGGUGUAAAGGGAGCGCAGGCGGGGUGGCAAGUCAGAUGUGAAAACCCGGGGCCCAACCCCGGGAGUGCAUUUGAAACUGCCAUGCUGGAGUGCCGGAGAGGUAAGUGGAAGUCCGAGUGUAGCGGUGAAAUGCGUAGAUAUUAGGAGGAACACCAGUGGCGGAGGCGGCUUACUGGACGGUAACUGACGCUGAGGCUCGAAAGCGUGGGGAGCAAACAGGAUUAGAUACCCCAGUAGUC